GUCGAGAAUCUUCCGCAAUGCGCGAAAGCGUGACGGAGCGACACCGCGUGAUGGAUGAAGUCCUUCGGGGCGUAAACAUCUUUUAUAAAGGAGGAAAUUUUUGACGUUACUUUAUGAAUAAGGGGCUCCCAAUCUCGUGCCAGCAGGAGCGGUAAUACGAGAGCCUCAAGCGUUAUCCGGAAUCAUUGGGCGUAAAGGGUGCGUAGGUGGUUUGAUUAGUCUCCCGUUAAAACUUCGAGCUUAACUCGAAAAGAGCGGGGGAAACGGUCAACUAGAGUAUGUGAGAGGUGUGUGGAACUCAUGGUGUAGGGGUGAAAUCCGUUGAUAUCAUGGGGAACACCAAAAGCGAAGGCAGCACACUGGCACAUCACUGACACUGAGGCACGAAACCUAAGGUAGCGAAUGGGAUUAGAUACCCCGGUAGUCC
Molecule: ribosomal RNA, 427 nt
Filed under: uncultured bacterium
Lineage: Bacteria
Description: bacterial SSU rRNA
Rfam family: Bacterial small subunit ribosomal RNA
Source: RNAcentral